GACGAACGCUGGCGGCGUGCCUAAUACAUGCAAGUAGAACGCACAGUUUAUACCGUAGCUUGCUACACCAUAGACUGUGAGUUGCGAACGGGUGAGUAACGCGUAGGUAACCUGCCUGGUAGCGGGGGAUAACUAUUGGAAACGAUAGCUAAUACCGCAUAAUAUUAAUUAUUGCAUGAUAAUUAAUUGAAAGGUGCAAUUGCACCACUACCAGAUGGACCUGCGUUGUAUUAGCUAGUAGGUGAGGUAACGGCUCGCCUAGGCGACGAUACAUAGCCGACCUGAGAGGGUGAUCGGCCACACUGGGACUGAGACACGGCCCAGACUCCUACGGGAGGCAGCAGUAGGGAAUCUUCGGCAAUGGACGAAAGUCUGACCGAGCAACGCCGCGUGAGUGAAGAAGGUUUUCGGAUCGUAAAGCUCUGUUGUAAGAGAAGAACGGGUGUGAGAGUGGAAAGUUCACACUGUGACGGUAUCUUACCAGAAAGGGACGGCUAACUACGUG
This 505-nucleotide ribosomal RNA is filed under the name uncultured bacterium. RNAcentral describes it as "partial 16S ribosomal RNA". It matches the Rfam family "Bacterial small subunit ribosomal RNA", at positions 28 to 507 of the family's 1533-position model. The record is from RNAcentral.